Long non-coding RNA from Macaca fascicularis (crab-eating macaque), 2171 nucleotides. Lineage: Eukaryota; Metazoa; Chordata; Mammalia; Primates; Cercopithecidae. The record is from Ensembl.
UUUUUUUCUUUUUUUUUUUUUUUUGAGAUGGAGUCUCACUCUGUCACCCAGGCUGGAGUGCAGUGGCGUGACCUCAGCUCAUUGCAACCUCCACUUCUCAGGUUCAAGCCAUUCUCCUACCUUAGCCUCCCAAGAAGCUGGAACUACAGGUGCCCCCCUACCAUGCCCAGCUAAUUUUUGCAUUUUUAGUAGAGAUGGGGUUUCACCAUGUUAGCCAGGCUGGUUGUGAACUCCUUACCUUGUGAUCCACCCGCCUUGGCCUUCCAAAGUACUGGGAUUACAGGCAUGAGCCACCACUCCUGGCACAUUUAAGUCUUUAAUCCAUCUAGAGUUAAUUUUUGAAUAAGGUGUGAGGAAGGGGUCCAGUUUCAGUUUUCUGCCUAUGGCUAGCCAGUUUUCCUAGCACCAUUUAUUAAAUAGGGAAUCCUUUCCCCAUUGCUUGUUUUUGUCAGGUUUGUCAAAGAUCAGAUGGUUGGAGAUGUGUGGCGUUAUUUCUGAGGCCUCUGUUCUGUUCCAUUGGUCUAUAUAUGUGUUUUGGUACCAGUGCCAUGCUGUUUUGGUUACUGUAGCCUUGUACUGUACUUCAAAUUCAGGUAGCAUGAUGCCUCCACUGUGUUCUUUUUGCUUAGGAUUGUGUUGGCUAUACAGACUCUUUUUUGGUUCCAUGUGAAAUUUAAAGUAGUUUUUUCUAAUUCUGUGAAGAAAGUCAAUGGUAGCUUGAUAGGGAUGGCAUUGAAUCUACAAAUUACUUUGGGCAGUAUGGCCAUUUUCACAAUACUGAUUCUUCCUAUCCUUUUUUUUGAGUCUCACUCUGUUGCCUAGGCUGGAGUGCAGUAGUACAAUCUCGGCUCACUGCAACCUCCACCUCCUGGGUUCAAGCAGUUCUCCUGCCUCAGCCUCCUGAGUAGCUAGGAUUAUAGGCACAUACCACCACACCUGGCUAAUUUUUAUAUUUUUAGUAGAGACAGGGUUUCACCAUGUUGGUCAGGCUGGUCUCGAACUCCUGACUUCGUGAUCUGCCCGCCUUGGCCUCCCAAAGUGCUGGGAUUACAGGCGUGAGCCAUCUUUCCUGGCUGAUUCUUCCUAUCAAUGAGCAUGGAGUGCUUUUCCAUUUGCUUGUGUCCUCUCUUAUUUCCUUGAGCAGUGGUUGGUAGUUCUCUUUGAAGAGGUCCUUCACAUCCCUUGUAAGUUGUAUUUCUAGGUAUUUUAUUCUCUUUAUAGUAAUUGUGAAUGGGAGUUCACUCAUGAUUUGGCUCUCUGUCUAUUAUUGGUGUAUAGGAAUGCUUGUGAUUUUUGCACAUUGAUUAUGUAUCCUGAGACCUUGCUGAAGUUGCUUAUCAGCUUAAGGGGAUUUUGGCUGAGUCGAUGGGGUUUUCUUAACAUACAAUCAUGUCAUCUGCAAACAGACAAUUUGACUUCCUCUCUUCCUAUUUGAAUAGCUGUAUUUCUUUCUUUUGCCUGAUUGCCUGGGCCAGAACUUCCAAUACUAUGUUGAAUAGGAGUGGUGAGAGAGUGCAUCCUUGUCUUGUGCAGGUUUUCAAAGGGAAUGCUUCCAGUUUUUGCCCAUUUAAUAUGAUAUUGGCUGUGGGUUUGUCAUAAAUAGCUCUUAAUUAUUUUGAGAUAGUCCAUCAAUACCUAGUUUGAGAGUUUUUAGCAUGAGGGGGUGUUGAAUUUUGUCAGUGGCCUUUUCUGCAUCUAUUGAGAUAAUCAUGUGGUUUUUGUCAUUGGUUCUGUUUGUGAUGGAUUACGUUUAUUGAUUUGUAUAUGUUGAACCAGCCUUGAACCUCAGGGAUGAAACCGACUUGAUCAUGGUAGAUAAGCAUUUUGUGCUGCUGGAUUCAGUUUGCCAGUAUUUUAUUGAGGAUUUUCACAUCCGUGUUCAUCAGGGAUAUUGGCCUGAAAUUUUCUUUUUUUGUUGUGUCUCUGCCAGGUUUUGGUAUCAGGAUGAUGCUGGCAUCAUAAAAUGAGUUGGGAAGGAGUCCCUCUUUUUCUAUUGUUUGGAAUAGUUUCAGAAGGAAUGGUACCAGCUCCUCUUUGUACCUCUGGUAGAAUUCAGCUGUGAAUCAGUCUGGUCCUUGGCUUUUUUUUUUUUUUUUUUUUUUUUUGGUGGGCUAUUAAUUAUUACUGCCUCAAUUUCAGAACUUGUUAUUGGUCUAUUCAGGGAUUCGACU